Ribosomal RNA from Pteropus vampyrus (large flying fox), 117 nucleotides. NCBI's taxonomy places the organism in Eukaryota, Metazoa, Chordata, Mammalia, Chiroptera, Pteropodidae. The record is from Ensembl.
GUUUACAGCCAUGCUACCCUGAACAAGCCCAAUCCCAUCUGAUCUCAGAGCUAAGCAGCGUCAGGCCUGGUUAGUACUUGGAUGAGAGACCACCUAGGAAGACCAGGUGUUUAAAUU